RNAcentral lists this long non-coding RNA (1192 nucleotides) under Mus musculus (house mouse). RNAcentral describes it as "long non-coding RNA chr17:52468773-52469965". Lineage: Eukaryota; Metazoa; Chordata; Mammalia; Rodentia; Muridae. The record is from RNAcentral.
AAAAUAAGUGUCUCACUCAUAGCAAACUGACAGGUAUGUCACAGCACCAACUCUGGAGUCUAAUUCAUGCUCAGAGUCAUACUUCCGCUAACUGGAGUUCAAGUCUUAAUUUAUAAAACGGGCUGAGUGUUGACACAAAGAGAUGAUUGCCCUUGGAAGGUAAGUUUAAUGUAGCCCUAGAAAUGAGAGAUGGGGCCCAUCCCACUGAGCUAGAGAAGGAAGAUUCUUAUACAGGCAGGAGGUAGAACUGGUGUCAGUCGAGUUGGUCCAGAACUUGCACUGUGGCUUUUGCGGUCAAAGGCAGUGGGGAUAAAAUAAAGGAGUUAAGACUGGUGAAUAUGAAUAUUUGCGGUGGGCUUUUGGCUACAGGAAGGUUUUCUAUUAUUUGGCACCUGGUUCUGAAGGAGAAAUAUUACUUGGGAUGUGAGUUAGAUGAGAGCUCCUUGGGAGAAAAGUCUAGGGAUUCCUGCAUACAAAAGAUGCACACCUACCAUUAAUUCUUUAUUAACUCUAAAGUUUCCUGUCACUAGAAAGGGCAGUCUCCCUAACAUCAUGAUUCUUAAGGUUAAAAGCAUUACAAAUAAAGCAUUGAGAAUAAAACUCAUAGCCAGUACAGUGACAUUGAACAAGUUUGUCAACCUGACUUACUUUACUCAUCUAUAAACUGGGCACAAUAAUAAUAAUCAUGACACCACAGGGCUGCUGUGAGGGCUAAAUGAACUAAUAUAAAGAGCAUGGAGAACAGAGUGUGACGCAUAGGGAAUAUGAUAUUAAAACCAUAGAUACUUGUCAUCACAAUACCUCUCGAUGCCCCCCAAAAGGACAAGGAUGCUUUGAGAGUUCCAGAUGCAUGCAUGAAUGUCAGUAUGAAUGUGACUUUUCAUGACCAUAUAUGUGCAUUUCUUUUAAGGAAUUUAUAUUUCUAAGUUCUUAGAAAGAGAAAAUGAGUUCUUGAGUUAAGUGGGAAGCAAAGUAAAGACGAUCACUUCAGGUAAGGAGACUCCGAGGCUCUGCAGCCCGAGCUGCUGAUUUCCUACAGUGCUGAUUCCAAGCCAUCUGUCUCUGCCUGGGCAUUUAAGGCAGACAUUUGUCUUUCAAGUUUCUUCCAGCAACAUCACAGUCACCAAAUGAAGCCUAAUCUCUCCCAUCUAUAACCCAGUGAGGUUUUGUUGGACUGGGUAGCAGCGUUCCC